GACGAACGCUGGCGGCGUGCUUAACACAUGCAAGCCGAACGGAAAGGCCCUGCUUUUGUGGGGUGCUCGAGUGGCGAACGGGUGAGUAACACGUGAGUAACCUGCCCUUGACUUUGGGAUAACUUCAGGAAACUGGGGCUAAUACCGGAUAGGAGCUCCUGCUGCAUGGUGGGGGUUGGAAAGUUUCGGCGGUUGGGGAUGGACUCGCGGCUUAUCAGCUUGUUGGUGGGGUAGUGGCUUACCAAGGCUUUGACGGGUAGCCGGCCUGAGAGGGUGACCGGCCACAUUGGGACUGAGAUACGGCCCAGACUCCUACGGGAGGCAGCAGUGGGGAAUAUUGCACAAUGGGCGGAAGCCUGAUGCAGCAACGCCGCGUGCGGGAUGACGGCCUUCGGGUCGUAAACCGCUUUCGCCUGUGACGAAGCGUGAGUGACGGUAAUGGGUAAAGAAGCACCGGCUAACUACGUG
This 468-nucleotide ribosomal RNA is filed under the name uncultured bacterium. RNAcentral describes it as "partial 16S ribosomal RNA". It matches the Rfam family "Bacterial small subunit ribosomal RNA", at positions 28 to 507 of the family's 1533-position model. The record is from RNAcentral.